This 251-nucleotide ribosomal RNA is filed under the name uncultured prokaryote. RNAcentral describes it as "partial 16S rRNA". It matches the Rfam family "Bacterial small subunit ribosomal RNA", at positions 525 to 775 of the family's 1533-position model. The record is from RNAcentral.
ACGGAGGGUGCAAGCGUUAAUCGGAAUUACUGGGCGUAAAGCGCACGCAGGCGGUUUGUUAAGUCAGAUGUGAAAUCCCCGGGCUCAACCUGGGAACUGCAUCUGAUACUGGCAAGCUUGAGUCUCGUAGAGGGGGGUAGAAUUCCAGGUGUGGCGGCGAAAUGCGUAGGGAUCUGGCGGAAGGGCGGUGGCGAAGGCGGACCCCAGGACGAAGACCGAGGCUCCGGUGCGAAAGCGUGGGCAACAAACAG